Molecule: ribosomal RNA, 658 nt
Filed under: uncultured Alphaproteobacteria bacterium
Lineage: Bacteria; Pseudomonadati; Pseudomonadota; Alphaproteobacteria
Description: bacterial SSU rRNA
Rfam family: Bacterial small subunit ribosomal RNA
Source: RNAcentral
GGGGAGUGGCAGACGGGUGAGUAACGCGUGGGAAUGCUACCCUUUGGUACGGGAUAGCUCCGGGAAACUGGAAUUAAUACCGUAUGUGGCUUGAGAGCGAAAGAUUUAUCGCCAAAGGAUGAGCCCGCGUUGGAUUAGCUAGUUGGUGGGGUAAAGGCCUACCAAGGCGACGAUCCAUAGCUGGUCUGAGAGGAUGACCAGCCACAUUGGGACUGAGACACGGCCCAAACUCCUACGGGAGGCAGCAGUGGGGAAUAUUGGACAAUGGGCGCAAGCCUGAUCCAGCCAUGCCGCGUGAGUGAUGAAGGUCUUAGGAUUGUAAAGCUCUUUCACCGGGGACGAUAAUGACGGUACCCGGAGAAGAAGCCCCGGCUAACUUCGUGCCAGCAGCCGCGGUAAUACGAAGGGGGCUAGCGUUGUUCGGAAUUACUGGGCGUAAAGCGCACGUAGGCGGAUAUUUAAGUCAGGGGUGAAAUCCCGGGGCUCAACCCCGGAACUGCCUUUGAUACUGGGUAUCUUGAGUGUGGUAGAGGUCGGUGGAAUUGCGAGUGUAGAGGUGAAAUUCGUAGAUAUUCGCAGGAACACCAGUGGCGAAGGCGGCCGACUGGACCACAACUGACGCUGAGGUGCGAAAGCGUGGGGAGCAAACAGGAUUAGA